AGAGUUCACUAAAAUUCAUUAAUUUCAAAGUUCAACAUUAAUGGUGGUGGUCCACUGCAGAAGCAAGCAUUUGAAAAAACAUCACUUCUCAGUUAUUAAAGAGCGUGAACAGGUUCUGAAGUGGCAUGCAAAACACGUUCACAGAAGAGGGGCAAAAAUUGUAUGCGUCCAAUUAUGGGCCGGAAUGAGAUUCUGGCAGUAUGAUAACCAUGCUGUGUUGAACAACUUCCCAGCA
Molecule: long non-coding RNA, 235 nt
Organism: Paramisgurnus dabryanus
Lineage: Eukaryota; Metazoa; Chordata; Actinopteri; Cypriniformes; Cobitidae
Source: RefSeq, a predicted model, not a curated record